UACACUGAUUUUUAAGUUGAUCAGUGUAGUAGGAGGAUGAAUUGGAGAGAGAGGAUGGCGCCAAAAUGAUGGCAUGAUUUUGGCGCCAAUAAUGGAGCGAAGCAGCAUGAUUGCAGAGUUUCCACGACUGAAAUUGGCUUAUGAUGAUGCAUUGUUGGGGGUGGGCGAUGUAUGUUUAUUUUCAGACAAUAUUGGCUAUUGGAUUCUUUUCCUUAAACCAGUCA
Neltuma alba is the source of this 224-nucleotide long non-coding RNA. RefSeq lists it as uncharacterized. The transcript is spliced from 3 exons. Lineage: Eukaryota; Viridiplantae; Streptophyta; Magnoliopsida; Fabales; Fabaceae. The record is from RefSeq and is a predicted model, not a curated record.